CGCAGCCGCGGGAAUACGGAGGGGGCUAGCGUUGUUCGGAUUAACUGGGCGUAAAGGGCGCGUAGGCGGGUUUUUAAGUCAGAGGUGAAAUCCCAAGGCUCAACCUUGGAACUGCCUUUGAUACUGGAAGUCUUGAGUCCGGGAGAGGUGAGUGGAACUGCGGGUGUAGAGGUGAAAUUCGUAGAUAUUCGCAAGAACACCAGUGGCGAAGGCGGCUCACUGGCCCGGUACUGACGCUGAGGCGCGAAAGCGUGGGGAGCAAACAGGAUUAGAUACCCGCGUAGUCCCUGUCUCUUAUACA
RNAcentral lists this ribosomal RNA (301 nucleotides) under uncultured bacterium. Its description in RNAcentral is "partial 16S ribosomal RNA". It matches the Rfam family "Bacterial small subunit ribosomal RNA", at positions 510 to 808 of the family's 1533-position model. The record is from RNAcentral.